This 1201-nucleotide ribosomal RNA is filed under the name Chloroflexota bacterium. RNAcentral's name for it is "bacterial SSU rRNA". It matches the Rfam family "Bacterial small subunit ribosomal RNA", at positions 302 to 1533 of the family's 1533-position model. Lineage: Bacteria; Bacillati; Chloroflexota. The record is from RNAcentral.
GAUCCGCCACACGGGGACUGAGAUAUGGUCCCGAGCCCUACGGGGUUUAGCAUGGAGGAAUCUUGCGCAAUGGGCGAAAGCCCGACGCAGCGACGCCGCGUGGGGGAUGAAGGCCUUCGGGUUGUAAACCCCUUUUCUGGGGGACGAAAUUGACGGUACCCCAGGAAGAAGCCACGGCUAACAGGGUGCCAGCAGCCGCGGUAAUACCUUGGUGGCAAACGUUAUCCGGAAUCACUGGGCGUAAAGCGCUCGUAGGCGGCUUGGUAGGUGUUCGGUGAAAGCCCCCGGCUCACCCGGGGAGGGUCCGAGCAAACCAUCAGGCUAGAGGCAGGCAGAGGACCGUGGAACGUCCGGGGGAGUAGUGGAAUGCGUAGAUCCCGGACGGAACACCAGAGGCGAAGGCGGCGGUCUGGGCCUGUCCUGACGCUGAGGGGCGAAAGCGCGGGGAGCAAACAGGAUUAGAUACCCUGGUAGUCCGCGCCGUAAACGAUGGACGCUAGGUGUGUGGGGGGCUCAACCCCCCUGCGUGCCGGAGCUAACGCGGUAAGCGUCCCGCCUGGGGACUACGGUCGCAAGACUAAAACUCAAAGGAAUUGACGGGUGCCCGCACAAGCAGCGGAGCGUGUGGUUCAAUUCGAGGCUACGCGAAGAACCUUACCGGGGUUUGACAUUACACGGCUAUCCCGCGAAAUCGGGAGUUCCUUCGGGACCGUGUAACAGGUGCUGCAUGGCUGUCGUCAGCUCGUGCCGUGAGGUGUUGGGUUAAGUCCCGCAACGAGCGCAACCCUCGACGCUAGUUGUAUAUGUCUAGCGUGACUGCCGCGGACAACGCGGAGGAAGGUGGGGAUGAUGUCAAGUCCGCAUGGCCCUUAUAUCCCGGGCUACACACACGCUACAAUGGCCAGUACAACGGGCAGCAACCUGGCGACAGGAAGCGAAUCCCUAAAAGCUGGUCUCAGUUCGGAUUGCAGGCUGCAACUCGCCUGCAUGAAGUCGGAGUUGCUAGUAACCGCAGGUCAGCACACUGCGGUGAAUACGUUCCCGGGCGUUGUACACACCGCCCGUCACGCCAUGAAAGUCGGCAACACCUGAAGCCGGUGAGCUAACCCUUGGGAAGCAGCCGUCGAGGGUGGGGUUGGCGAUUGGGGCGAAGUCGUAACAAGGUAGCCGUAGCGGAAGCUGCGGCUGGAUCACCUCCUUU